This 4266-nucleotide long non-coding RNA is filed under the name Prunus persica (peach). Its description in RNAcentral is "long non-coding RNA (PPER_LNC003994)". Lineage: Eukaryota; Viridiplantae; Streptophyta; Magnoliopsida; Rosales; Rosaceae. The record is from RNAcentral.
GAAAACAUUAUAUAAGCUACUCAUAUCAUAUGUAGAAAAGAAAAUAAUAUUAUACAGCUGAAUUGAAAAAAAAAUUCAAACCUCUAUACAUAAUCUGGAGGUUUGGACCUCAUCGUGAUCAAGGCUAUAGCCUUUUGAAAGUGAGAACCUAUCAUCUCAGGUGAAACAUUUUAAGUCAUGUAGAUUUGUCCUACAGAACUUUAUAAUCUUGGUCGCUUAUGUAUGUUCCUGUCGAAGCCUCUGCUUUUCAUCUGCUACGAGUAUAUACACCUGCAAUGAGAGAGAGAGAGAGAGAGAGAGAGAGAGAGAGAGAAAUAAUAUAUGUUGACAGCUUUUCUUCUUAUUAGUCAUUGACUCCUUGCUGAGAGAAUUAUCUCAGAUGAAAAUGGAAGUAUAUUAAGCUCCAUUAUACUUAGAGAGUUAAGGUUGUAAAUAGAGCUCUAUGUGUGCAAAACAUUACACUGGUACAGGAUUUUGUUCGAGGAUUUCCUUUCCUGUAAUUCCAUCUUUCAAAGUUCUAAAGUAAACAUUGUAGUCCUUCUCGGGGGAUGGAUUUUGAGGGUCCACUGUAAAUGGCUCACUAAAUGGCACAACACUUUUAACCUGCAAAUGAGUUUAUAAGCAUCUCAGAAUCUGCAAAAGCUUUUAACUUCCAAAAAUAGCAAAUUGCAGCCACAGCACACAGCACACAAUUAAGGGACAUAAGUCGGGCUGUGACCUUAAAUGUCUUGCCAGAUGCAUGGGGCUUUCCAACGCAGCAACACAAAUCUGAGCAACCUCCUCUCUUGAUAUCUUACCCUGCAUAUAUAUAAAUCCUAUCAAUCAUAACAUUCAGAUAUGAUUACUAUUAUAAAGGAAAGAAAGAGCAAUACAUGCGAUCACAAUAAAGAGAGAAUAGUGAUCUUCCAUUUGAUUAUAUACCGUUACAUUGUCUCCUUGGUCAAAAAUGAGAUCUGCUCCAGCAGGCUCCUCAGCAAAGAUAGAUGAAGUUUGAAAAAUCGCUAUGAGGUAGGCUAAAAGAACAAAAGAAAAGAACCAGACCCUAAACCCUAAAGAACCAGACCCACCCUGGCACCCAGACCCGCCUAGGGCCGCCUAGACCCGCCUAGACCCGCCUAGCGCCGCUCAAACCCUCCCAGCGCCGCCUAGACCAGCCCUGCAGUGCAUUAUGCAUAAGUUUGAAAAAUCGCUAGGCAGUAGGUUUAAAGAACAAAAGAAAAGAACCAGACCCGCCUAGACCCGCCUAGACCCGCCUAGCGCCGCCCUGACCUGCCCAUGCCGCCUAGGCCGAUUUUUCGUAAAGCAGAGUAUGGAUUGGAAGGAAUGGUUUCAACAAGAGGGGAUGUGUACAGUUUUGGAAUCGUAGUGAUGGAAACAUUGACAAGAAGGAAGCCACCAGAUGAGAUGUUUGUUGGGGAAAUGAAUUUAAAGCAAUGGAUUGCAAACUCACUAUUACCAGAUGCAAUGAUAGAUGAAGUUGUGGAUGCCAAUUUUCUUACUUGGUGUGGUUGCUGCUGCAAGCCUGCAACUACGGCCUCUUGGGUGCUUUGCCGCUGCUUUGUUAAGAAUAUUUGUUUUUCUAUUUAUUAUGUUUAUUGAUUAUCUUGUUCAGUUGUGGAAGUCCUAUUGUUUAGGAACUUGGUUGUUUAGUUGCUAGUUAAUAGGAGAGUCUAAGUUGUCAGGGAGUCAUGGUUAGUGGCUGAAUGUGAUGGUUUAGUCGUGCAUUAGUUGUUCCUAUUAUUUAGGAGAGUCCAAGUUGCUUUGUUAUUUUGCUAUUUAAGUUGUAUUCAGUGUUCAAGUUAAUGGUGAAGAGAAGUUUGAAUUCCACAAAUACGUUCUUGGUUCUUCAUCUGUUUCCUUAUUUUCAACAUGCUUACCCCAGGACUCUUUUACUUGGUAUGGUAUCAGAGGAGGCAAGAAACGACUGAUUACAACACCCAGGCCUCCCUUCCUAUCUGUUGGUCUCUCGGUGUGUGUAAAACAAGCUUGGUUUUUGAGACUUUUGUCUUGAUCGUUGCUUUAGUUAUGGAUAGAACAAACAAUUAAUGGUUUUCAGUUUCACAAAUAUUGGAUUGGAUUGGAUCCCUGUAUUUAAAGCAUGUUUAAGGAAGAAAUGAAAAUAUUUUUUUAUCAUUGAAGGUAGAAGAUGGAUUACUCAUGAAGAAAACUUAUCCUGUCUAAUCCCAACAAACAUGGAAAGUCAUUCACCCCUACCUUCAUCUUCUCUUUCAAUAUACCUUAGAUUUAGUGACUUAUCAAGUUUUCUUCUUUCAUAAUCAAAAUUAGUAAUUGACUCUUUCUACUCUUUAACUAACUGCUUUAGGGUUCUUUACCUGUGCAUUAAGUUCUGGUAUCUUGGGACAGGUUUUAUUUAGUCUCCUUUAGAAUUCUGAUAGCUUGUUUUGUCAAGCUGAAAGAGUGCUGGUUAGAUCCAACAACGAAUUUGAUUGAGACUAUAAACUUUUUGAAAAAUCAGUGGAAAGACCAUGGUAAAUUCUGUGAUCUGCUUGCUGAAGACUACUUCAAUUUAGCAUUCAAGUUUUAUGAAGACGUUAAUGUGACAAAGAUGCUUGAGGGUGCUGGAAUUUCGGUUGGGAUGGAUUUUGAUCCUAACUUAAUCAUUCAAAGUGAUAAGGAAAAAGACUAACAGCUUCGCAUAUAUAAAGUGUUAUAAUGGAAUGUUUUGUUUGGGAAGUCCGAUUCUGCUUCGAAAAAGAUGGAAUGUUCCGGGACUGUAACAUGAGGCCUCAGGAUAUGUUUCAAAAAAGGACAAUAAAUACACAUGACAAAAUUUCUCUUCCAAUGCCCACCUACAAUAAAGGCAGAGGUAAAUACCAAAUUGUGCUUUCCGAGUUCUAUGUUGUAAUCACACAUUUAUAAAUUGCCUAUGUGAUUGUUGUAGAAAUGUGAUGGCGGAGACUGCUACUAUAGGUGAUUAGCCCAAGCAAUGAGCACAAAAGGCUGCUGGUGGUGGUGAGCAAGUUAAAGUUCUACAAAUAUUUUUCUAUUUUUUCAUUUUUUUUUUUUAAUGUUUGUGUUAUGUUGAUGUUUCCAGGUCUGAACUUGAGUCACACGACAAGGCCAAGCAUAGUGUUGAGGGUGAUACCUUCAUUUUGUGAAGGUUUUGGUGGUGAUCGGUUGUGGUUUUAUAUGUUUAAACCUCAGUUUUUCUAUUUCUUUAACUUUGAUUAAUAAUUUACUUUAAGAACACUAAUUUUAACUGUUUCUUUAUUGUCAGCAACUUUGAUUUACCACUUUUCAUUCCAAAAUGAAUCUCGCGCACUAAUUGGGUCAAAUUACUCUUGGUUUACAUUGAACUUGUAUACUUAAUGCCGGAAUACUUGCUCUACUGGUCGCGAGCCUUGAUUGCUAUGGCUAAUGUCUUAAUGAAAAAUUGACCUACAAGAACCCUCAUAGCUAGUCAUAGUCCAAUUUCCUGUAAGCUUCUACAAUCUGCCCGUAGCGUACAGAAAGUGCUUGCUCUAUGAACCCUUCUUAGUUUUAUAAGCCGCAGCAUUGGAAUUUCCUUCUUGAUUUGAUAUAAAACUGUGACAUUGAUCUCCAUCUUCACUUUUAUGCCGAGGCUGCAAACUGUGUGGGCUGUGCUACCAUUGAAAUGGUUACAAGCCAUGAUUCUGCCACCGUCUUUAACUUACAAUUCAAGGCCAAACACAUGUACAAUAAUUUAUGUAUGCAUAUUUUUAAAAUCAUUAGAAAACAUUAUAUAAGCUACUCAUAUGUAGAAGGAAAAUAAUAUUAUACAGCUGAAUUGAAAAAAAAUUUCAAACCUCUAUACAUAAUCAGGAGGUUUGGACCUCAUCGUGAUCAAGGCUAUAGCCUUUUGAAAGUGAGAACCUAUCAUCUCAGGUGAAACAUUUUAAGUCGUGGAUUUGUCCUACAGAAGUUUAUAAUCUUGGUCGCUUAUGUAUGUUCCUGUAGAAGCCUCUGCUUUUCAUCUGCUAUGAGUAUAUACACCUGCAAUGAGAGAGAGAGAGAGAGAGAGAGAGAGAGAGAAAGAAAUAAUAUAUGUUGACAGAUUUUCUUCUUAUUAGUCAUUGACUCAUUGCUGAGAGAAUUAUCUCAGAUGAAAAUGGAAGUAUAUUAAGCUCCAUUAUACUUACAAAGUUAAGGUUGAAAAUAGAGCUCUAUGUGUGCAAAACAUUACACUGGUACAGGAUCUUGUUCGAGGAUUUCCUUUCCUGUAAUUCCAUCUUUCAAAGUUUUAAAGUAAACAUUGUAGUCCUUCUCGGGGGGUGGAUUUUGAGG